This 812-nucleotide ribosomal RNA is filed under the name uncultured bacterium. RNAcentral's name for it is "bacterial SSU rRNA". It matches the Rfam family "Bacterial small subunit ribosomal RNA", at positions 591 to 1401 of the family's 1533-position model. The record is from RNAcentral.
UCUGUGAAAUUCCGGGGNUUAACUUCGGGGUGGCAGGCGAUACGGGCAUAACUAGAGUGCUGUAGGGGUGACUGGAAUUCCUGGUGUAGCGGUGGAAUGCGCAGAUAUCAGGAGGAACACCGAUGGCGAAGGCAGGUCUCUGGNCAGUAACUGACGCUGAGGAGCGAAAGCAUGGGGAGCGAACAGGAUUAGAUACCCUGGUAGUCCAUGCUGUAAACGGUGGGCGUUAGGUGUGGGGACCGGUUUGGUUUCUGUGCCGUAGCUAACGCAUUAAGCGCCCCGCCUGGGGAGUACGGCCGCAAGGCUAAAACUCAAAGGAAUUGACGGGGGCCCGCACAAGCGGCGGAGCAUGUGGAUUAAUUCGAUGCAACGCGAAGAACCUUACCUGGGUUUGACAUGCACCAGACGGUUGUAGAGAUACGUACCUCCCUUUGUGGUUGGUGUGCAGGUGGUGCAUGGUUGUCGUCAGCUCGUGUCGUGAGAUGUUGGGUUAAGUCCCGCAACGAGCGCAACCCUUGUCUUAUGUUGCCAGCACUUUGGGUGGGGACUCAUGAGAGACUGCCGGGGUUAACUCGGAGGAAGGUGGGGAUGACGUCAAAUCAUCAUGCCCUUUAUGCCCAGGGCUUCACACAUGCUACAAUGGUUAGUACAACGCGCUGCGAGCCUGUGAGGGUGAGCGAAUCGCUGAAAGCUAAUCUCAGUUCGGAUUGGGGUCUGCAACUCGACCCCAUGAAGUCGGAGUCGCUAGUAAUCGCAGAUCAGCAAUGCUGCGGUGAAUACGUUCCCGGGCCUUGUACACACCGCCCGUCACG